This 426-nucleotide ribosomal RNA is filed under the name uncultured bacterium. RNAcentral describes it as "partial 16S ribosomal RNA". It matches the Rfam family "Bacterial small subunit ribosomal RNA", at positions 354 to 796 of the family's 1533-position model. The record is from RNAcentral.
GUGAGGAAUUUUCCGCAAUGGGCGAAAGCCUGACGGAGCAAUGCCGCGUGAAGGAUGAAGGCCUAUGGGUUGUAAACUUCUUUUCUUAGAGAAGAAUAUUGACGGUAUCUGAGGAAUAAGCAUCGGCUAACUUCGUGCCAGCAGCCGCGGUAAUACGAAGGUCCCAAGCGUUGUUCGGAAUCACUGGGCGUAAAGGGUGCGUAGGCGGCGUGGUAAGUCAGAUGUGAAAUCCCGGGGCUCAACCUCGGAACUGCAUCCGAUACUGCCAUGCUUGAGGGCUGGAGAGGUAACUGGAAUUCUCGGUGUAGCAGUGAAAUGCGUGGAUAUCGAGAGGAACACUCGUGGCGAAGGCGAGUUACUGGACAGCAUCUGACGCUGAGGCACGAAGGCCAGGGGAGCGAAAGGGAUUAGAUACCCGUGUAGUCC